AGAUUAGACCUUGGGUGAUCAAGUAUCGAACUAAAGAUGGCAAAUGAUCAAUCAAACUAUCGACCUUAAGCCUAGACACAAUUCUAAGCAAGCUCUAUGUCUAGAUGAAUGCUCAUUUGCUGACAUAUCUCAAACAUCAAAUGUCUUUGGUUGAAUAAUGUGAAAGAAAUCAUUACUAACAAGUCUAUUAUCUAUCUUAGCACCUUUAACAACACAUAUCUUUGGCAAAGUAUACUAAAAACCUAGGAGAGUUGUCUCAGGCAUUUCAUCGAACACCUUUCGGGUGGGAAAUACCUAUCGAUCAACUUUUGAGUGGCCAACUCAGAAGAU
RNAcentral lists this long non-coding RNA (330 nucleotides) under Brassica napus (rape). RNAcentral's name for it is "long non-coding RNA (BNAP_LNC004172)". Lineage: Eukaryota; Viridiplantae; Streptophyta; Magnoliopsida; Brassicales; Brassicaceae. The record is from RNAcentral.